RNAcentral lists this non-coding RNA (26 nucleotides) under Mus musculus (house mouse). Lineage: Eukaryota; Metazoa; Chordata; Mammalia; Rodentia; Muridae. The record is from RNAcentral.
UGACAACUUGAGUUGGAUUCCCAAGA